UCGAGUUACCACAAUCCAAGGUCUUCGUGUUGCUGGAUUUAUAAAGUCUUGAAAAAAUCAAAGCGAACCCUAAAGUUUUAAAUUUUUACACAAAGUUUAUUUCCACAUCCUCUAACUCUGAUAAGUCUUAGAAAAUUUCCUCUUGUACUUCGUUUAUUACAUGUUUUAUUUAAAAAAAUUCUUAGGGCCAGAGGCCCAUCUUUUUUGGAUCAUAUGUUCUUAAACAACUAAAUUUUUUUUUCUUUAAAACAAAUUGUUUUUAAGCAAACUAGUUCUUAAUUCCAAAAAAGUCAUCAACAUUAUCUCAUUCUGAUCUUUAUUCUUCAUUCCACCAUUAUCUUCAUUCCACCAUUAUCUCACGAUCAAUAAUCUGAGAACGAUUGAUUGAAAUAAAGUCAUCAAUGAUCACCAUCAAUAAUCUGUGAACGAUUAAAGGUGAUUAAAAGGAUCAAUAACUUUUUAAAGGAUGUUGGUAAUCCCAAUCGUCAAUUAACACGAUUAAUCUAACGAUAAUGGAGAAGGUGGAAUAGAAAUGGAGACCAGUUAAUUAUAUUGGUCAAGCUAGAGUCUUGAGUAUCUUACGAUCCUUAUCGCCGAAAGGAAAUGGGUUCCGUCGAAAAUAAACUUGAUGGAGAUUAAAAGACAACGGAGAAUGAAGAAAUCGAAGAUACCCAAUAGCUGCCGAAACCCAAGACGAAGAAACCCAGUAGCUGCCGGAACCUAGGACGAAGAUCGAAACAACCAGUUAAUUAUAUUGGUCAACCUAGAAUCUUGAUUAUCUUACGACCUUAUUAUCGAAAGGAAAUGGGUUCCAUCGAAAAUAAACUGAAUGGAGAUAAAAAGAAAACGGAGGAUGAAGAAAUCGAAGAUACCCAAUAGCUGCCCAAUAUAAUUAAAAUUAGAACAAAGGAACCCAAUAGUUGCUGGAACCCAGAACAAAAACAUCGGAGGAAUAAAGAAAAAGAAGAAUGAACCUAAUAACUAUUGGAAUGAACCCAGAACGAAGACAAUCAAGGAAUAAGACGAAGACGAUAAAAAUAGAUGAUAGACAAUAAAUGAUAGAAUGUUCAUAGAAUGAAUAGAUGAUAGAAUUUUGAUCAUGAAAAAUAGAAUAAACCCACAAAUAAUAAACCCAGAACGAAGACAAUAGAUGAUAGAAUGUUGAUCAUGAAGAACAAACCCAAAAACUGGAGAAUGGUAAACCGAGAAUGAAAACAACCAGAGAAAUAAAAAUAAGAAGAAACCGAAAAGAAGAAGAAACCCAAAAGAAGAUGAAACCCAAAAGAAGAAGGAAUCGAGAACGACAACGGAGGAUGAAGAAGAAACCAGCUUAUAACAGACACCGACAAGACAUGAUAAAAAAG
This 1364-nucleotide long non-coding RNA is filed under the name Zostera marina. RNAcentral's name for it is "long non-coding RNA (ZMAR_LNC003102)". The record is from RNAcentral. Lineage: Eukaryota; Viridiplantae; Streptophyta; Magnoliopsida; Alismatales; Zosteraceae.